AAAUGCUUGCGACUGACGAAUCUCAGAUUUGCAAAUGUGCGAGGGCUUGAAAGAACCUGUGUAGUGUUUAGUUCCCUGCAUUGACACCAUGGUGGAGUUAGUUUGAAACUUUCAAAUUUAAAGUAUUCAAUAUUCAUGGCACCUAAAAUGUCAAACGGCCAGUCUCGCCAUCUACUUUUUUUUUUUUGCUUGCCAUGGUUUGCCAUUAAUAAGAGGAUAACUUGACUUAUUUUUAUUAGGAUGCUAAUUUAUUAACCAUCUGGGAGUAAUUUUGCUGGGAGAUGUCCUAUAACAGCUCCAGAUUAAUUGUGGUUGUCGUGGUCAUCUUCUUUUGUUCUCUCUUAUGGACCAGUCUCUUUGGUGUAGGCUGGAUGUUUUACAGUUUCUUAAGGAAAUGGUUUAUCGCUUGAGCUGUCAACAUGGAGAUGCAAUCAUGCAGGCCGGGCUCUUCAAGAUGCGAUCUUGAUGGCCAAAGUUUGCCCGUUCCAAAACCUGAACAAUAGAAUGGCACCAGGAGUUGUCUUGCUACUUUUGAAUCCGAACAAAAUGGUGGGUUAAUUUCUGUCAGUCACAAUCAAGGAAUGCAAGUUCCUGAGGGAGAAGACAUUGCUGUCAGUUAAUAAUUCCAUUUCUAAAGUUAUUGGAGAAAGUAACCUGCAGUCAAGAGGACAUCGUGCAGGCUUAAACUGCUAUGUUGUUCUUGGACCACCUACGAUUUGUUGCUGGACACUCUUUGUGCACUCUCAUAAGAGCAUUUUCUGCUGAAACAACUUAAAGCUUCUGCUGGAUUCAUGUACCUCAUGAUUGAGAUGUUACCAUCUGCAUUUCCAGCUCUCGUCUCCUGCUCUGUUCACCAUGCAUUUAUAUAGCAUUGAUUUAUGAAAUUGGAAGGGAAGCUGGUUGUAUGCACCACUCCGUCUCUGGUACUUCCCAUUUGCACUUGUUUACAGAGCGUGGUCCAUCUUUGGUUCUGAAUCUUCUGAUGCUGUUUUAGAUUGUUGUUUUCUGCGGUUUAGCAUCAGAGAUGGAUAUCGUCAUUAGUAGUUUAGGAUGUGAUUAUUUCAUUGCUUACAGAACUCGCAAAAUAUAGUCGAUUCCUCUGUUAGGCGAAGACGGUCCUUUCCUUGGGACAUAUUCCAAGAACACGCAACUCCUUAAAAUGGUCUGUUGCAGAAGUUUGGUGAUUCAACCUUUUACACAAGAAUUAGCACCCACAAGAGUCUGUCAUCAGGUGGUUCAAGUUUCUAUACCAGAGUUGAGCAGAUAUGGUCUGCUAACAUUAUUCUGCACAAUGCAUUCAUUGACAGUUUUUAUUUUGCUUACCUCUCUUUCUUUUGUUCUUGUUUGUCACUACCUUUGCGUGUCUCCUUUAUCUGUUUACAUGAUUAUCAAGUAUACAUCGUCCAAGCUUUGUUUUCAGUGGCUUCAACUCAAUUCUUCGGCAGGUGCGCAGCAAUACAACAAUAUUUUCUCCCUUCUGUGAAACGAGUUCGGGUACCAUGUGUAAGACAACGUUUUGGCAUUUGUGGUGGACCAUGAAAAAGGGGGCCUUGUGAUCUUUUGUAAGGAGAAACUAUUUUUGGCAGUUCUGGAUCUUCUUGUCAUACGUAUGAUGUACGCCCCACUAAUGUGAAACUACAAGAUUAGGAGCAGAAGUAACUAACGGAGCAAAGCACUGUAAAGACUGGCAAAAGAAUUUAAAGUGACGCUACACCUUGAAAUCAUGACGAAAAGAUUAAGUAAAUCUCCAUCCAUGAGAAAUUGCAAUUUGAGCACGAAUAAUUUCGAUAGCCGCAUUUUCUUGCCUCUCGACGCUUCCAUUUGUUCAUUUCUUUUAGAGUGGACUAUACUGAAAACGGCAUCUAAAAAGUCGUGACAGCAGCUCUGUCAAAACUUCAAGGUGAGGAAUGCUGAGAAUCCAAUGCCCGAGAUGCAUCUAUCAGGUUUACAAUCUCAAUUAGUUGGAGAAUUUUGAAGAAAUCUAGUUGGCCACUAUCCUCUCUCUCUUUGCAUGUUUUCUCAGUUUAGUUCGGUGCAUAAAGAAUUUACAAGUAUUGUACAGAAUGAUCGGAGUGGAUAAUGAUCUAAAAUUUAUAAAUACAGCAGGUCUUGCCCAGUUCUAUUCUUCUCAUCUGUCUAAGAUCUCUUGCCAUUAAACAAGCCAGGACUCUGCCCUUCCGGCUCAGCCACAGUGGGCUCGGCAGUCGGUCUAUGCAUCCGCCGCAAGAGCUGCAGCGCAGAACAUGGGCCUGAUAAUUGGUAUAAAAGGGAUUUGAAAGAUUUUACCAAUUAGAUGCCUGUCUAUAUGCAUCAACAGUUGGUUUCACUUUUGUUAUUGAUUCAGUUGUUGUUGUCAUAUACAAAAGCAGAUGAGUAAAGGGGAUUAGAAAAACUGAGCACUCCAUGAACCAUACUAAAGGGGGUACCAUAGGCGCCGAAGCUCCUCCCUCGGGAAUGGUACACCGUCAACUAGAGAGUCGUACAUCUGCAUCAAAAUGUUUGUCCCUAUUUACAAAUUUCUUGAAUGCCAAAGCAUUACUUUU
This is a long non-coding RNA of Nymphaea colorata (pocket water lily), 2543 nucleotides long. RefSeq lists it as uncharacterized. The transcript is spliced from 3 exons. Lineage: Eukaryota; Viridiplantae; Streptophyta; Magnoliopsida; Nymphaeales; Nymphaeaceae. The record is from RefSeq and is a predicted model, not a curated record.